This 108-nucleotide small nuclear RNA is filed under the name Microcebus murinus (gray mouse lemur). The record is from RNAcentral. Lineage: Eukaryota; Metazoa; Chordata; Mammalia; Primates; Cheirogaleidae.
GUGCUCACUUUGGCAGCACACAUACUAAAAUUGGAAUGAUACAGAGAAGAUUUAGCAUGCCCCCUGCACAAGGAUGACAUGCAAAUCCGUGAAAUGUUCCCUAUUUUU